This is a long non-coding RNA of Stegostoma tigrinum, 282 nucleotides long. RefSeq lists it as uncharacterized. The transcript is spliced from 3 exons. NCBI's taxonomy places the organism in Eukaryota, Metazoa, Chordata, Chondrichthyes, Orectolobiformes, Stegostomatidae. The record is from RefSeq and is a predicted model, not a curated record.
UUUCAGGAUGCCAGAAGGCACCAAGCUGCCAAUUGAUUUUCAGUACAUUAAGUUAUCAUUCAUUUGAGGCCUGCAUUGUUUACAGUGCUGUAUGAUGCCCCCAGCCUAUCAGUGAUGAGAAUUGAUUUGACACUGUUUCCAGAAUUAAUUUGAAGUGCAGAAGACUCCUGGCAAAUGGGGCAUUGUAAAGGAACCCUUCUAUUGGCAACAUCCAGGAAAUGAACUGAGCUACAAGACAUAUUAUAGUAUGAAUUCAAAAGGAAAUAUGAAAGAUAAAAAUAG